Molecule: long non-coding RNA, 884 nt
Organism: Triticum aestivum (bread wheat)
Lineage: Eukaryota; Viridiplantae; Streptophyta; Magnoliopsida; Poales; Poaceae
Exons: 2
Source: RefSeq, a predicted model, not a curated record
ACGAGAAGCGAUUUGUCGGAUUAGGAACGCGUUUUCAUUGGCCAGCUGCCCCAGGUUUCUCCACACACAACCCCCUCCUCUGCUCCUUUCUCUUCCUCGGCACCGCCGGAUCUGCGGCAGCUCCUGCCCAUGGUCCCCUGCCGCGCCGAGGGAGCACGGCGCCGCUGAGAUGCAGGGCGAUGCACUGCCGCCUACCGCGCCCUUGGCCUUCUCACAUCCCCUGCCCCUCCCUCCUCUUCGGCGACGGCGAGCUGUACGAGUCGGGGGCCUCCCCGCUCGUCUUCCUGAUCCAGGGCGGCGGCAUGAACCUCUCCCGCGUCGGCGAGAAUCUCCUCAGCUCCGUCUGCUGCGCGCGCUCCCUCGCCCUCCUCCCUCCGACCCCAGCCCCUUCCUGUGUCGAGGUUCCAGCUCGAGCUAUUGUUGCAGCGACGGCUGGAUUUGAUGUCACUGAAGUUCUAAAGAUUACAUGAUGGCUUGCUUAAUUUUCUUCAUUAAGAGCAGAGAAGGAGAGGGAAGAGAAAGACAAAGAUAUUUAGCUUUCCUUUCAGUUAUCAUUGCAUUACUUUUCUUUAGGGUUUUCGAUCAUUGGUUCUAAGAAAUUAGCCCCAAGAAAGGGUGCCUUCUGAUGUCUAUAAAUCUAAGCUUUAUCUGUUCUUGGGAUCUGAUGGAAGCUUGUGAUUUAGGAUUAAUUAGAUUAUCUGCACAAAAGUGGCUCCUUUCUUGGUUUGUUCUUGUCCCUAUAAGCUGAGCUUCUGUCCAUCCGUCCGUAAUAGAAGAAGCUUAUUUCCUUCCUAGGCUUGUAGUAUCAUCUCAUGCUCCCUUGUGCUGUGAAUUCGUAAUGGAAUGUAUACAAAUUGGAGGCAGCCUCCCUGCUUACAGUACUA